RNAcentral lists this ribosomal RNA (410 nucleotides) under uncultured microorganism. RNAcentral's name for it is "bacterial SSU rRNA". It matches the Rfam family "Bacterial small subunit ribosomal RNA", at positions 509 to 917 of the family's 1533-position model. The record is from RNAcentral.
CAGCCGGCGCGGUAAUACGUAGGGGGCGAGCGUUGUCCGGAAUUACUGGGCGUAAAGGGCGUGUAGGCGGCCUGUUAAGUCAGGGGUGAAAGACCGGGGCUCAACCCCGGGGGUGCCUCUGAAACUGGCGGGCUUGAGUGCUCUAGAGGGCAGUGGAAUUCCCGGUGUAGCAGUGAAAUGCGUAGAGAUCGGGAGGAACACCAGUGGCGAAGGCGGCUGCCUGGGGAGUCACUGACGCUGAGGCGCGAAAGCUAGGGGAGCAAACAGGAUUAGAUACCCUGGUAGUCCUAGCCGUAAACGAUGAGCGCUAUGUGUGAGGGGUAUCGACCCCCCUCGUGCAGUAGCUAACGCAUUAAGCGCUCCGCCUGGGGAGUACGGCCGCAAGGUUGAAACUUAAAGGAAUUGGCGGG